Rattus norvegicus (Norway rat) is the source of this 510-nucleotide long non-coding RNA. RefSeq lists it as uncharacterized. Lineage: Eukaryota; Metazoa; Chordata; Mammalia; Rodentia; Muridae. The record is from RefSeq and is a predicted model, not a curated record.
CUAGUCUGUUUUUCUCUUUGGUGCUUGUAUUUUGGCUCCAGAUAUAAGAAUCAGUGCCAAGUCCGAGGUUGGUGAACUCCCAUGCUUCCUUCUAAGUGUUUUUACAUGUUCGGACAUUGCUUUGCAUGGGGCGUGAUGGAGGUGACUUGGGAAAGACACAUAAAGUCCAAGGCUGGAAACUUCAUUCUGGUCUCCUGUAUUUUUGCAACAGUCUCCCUCAGUGCUGUGCUUCAAGAUAAACUCCAGGUUCUCCUUCAGUUGAAGCACAUUUUUUGAGUUGGUGUGCCUCAGCCUCUCCCUAAGAAACAAAAGAAGACACCAGGAGGAGAGGAAGACAAAGAAAUGGGGGAUUUGGUCUUCUACGCUCCUACUUGGAUGGUUUUGUUCCAGAGAUGACUCUAGGAUGGCAUGCUUCAUUGGGGGGGAGGGGUGCGAGGCUGGUGAGGGAAGAGGCCAGAUCCUGUACUAAUUCCAGCAUGAGAAUUUGAAUAAAAGGUAUUUGGAUCUUUA